CUGGCGGCGUGCUUAAUACAUGCAAGUCGAGCGGGGAGUUAGCAAUAACUUCGAGUGGCGAACGGGUGAGUAACGCGUGGGUGACCUGCCCCGAAGUGUGGGAUAACAGCUCGAAAGGGCUGCUAAUACCGCAUGUGGCUUUCCGGACUAGAUGCCGGAAUCUCUAAAGCAGAAAUGCUCUUCGGGAGGGGCCUGCGUCCCAUCAGCUGGUUGGUAGGGUAACGGCCUACCAAGGCGACGACGGGUAGGGGACCUGAGAGGGUGACCCCCCACACUGGCACUGAAAACACGGGGCCAGACACCUACGGGUGGGCAGCAGUUAGGGAAUCUUGCACAAUGGGCGCAAGCCUGAUGCAGCAACGCCCGCGUGCGCGAUGAAAAGCCUUCAGGUUCGUAAAGCCGCCUUUUCUGGAAGACGAGAAGGGACGGUUCCUUCAGGAAAGAAGGCUUCGGCUAACUUACUUGCCA
This 468-nucleotide ribosomal RNA is filed under the name uncultured bacterium. RNAcentral describes it as "bacterial SSU rRNA". It matches the Rfam family "Bacterial small subunit ribosomal RNA", at positions 36 to 510 of the family's 1533-position model. The record is from RNAcentral.